This 253-nucleotide ribosomal RNA is filed under the name uncultured bacterium. RNAcentral's name for it is "partial 16S ribosomal RNA". It matches the Rfam family "Bacterial small subunit ribosomal RNA", at positions 524 to 776 of the family's 1533-position model. The record is from RNAcentral.
UACGGAGGGUGCAAGCGUUGCUCGGAAUUAUUGGGCGUAAAGGGUAGGUAGGUGGUCUCAUUUGUCUGGGGUGAAAGCCUUGAGCUUAACUCAAGAAGUGCCCCAGAAACGGUGAGACUAGAGUCCUGGAGAGGGUCGUGGAAUUCCCGGUGUAGCGGUGAAAUGCGUAGAGAUGCGGAGGAACACCGAUGGCGAAGGCAGCCCCCUGGGCUAGCACUGACGCUCAGGCACGAAAGCGUGGGGAGCAAACAGG